AGAGUGAACGCUGGCGGUAGGCCUAACACAUGCAAGUCGAACGGCAGCACAGUGGUAGCAAUACCAUGGGUGGCGAGUGGCGGACGGGUGAGGAAUACAUCGGAAUCUACCUUUUCGUGGGGGAUAACGUAGGGAAACUUACGCUAAUACCGCAUACGCCCUUCGGGGGAAAGCCGGGGAUCGCAAGACCUGGCGCGGAUAGAUGAGCCGAUGUCGGAUUAGCUAGUUGGUGAGGUAAUGGCUCACCAAGGCGACGAUCCGUA
This 263-nucleotide ribosomal RNA is filed under the name uncultured soil bacterium. Its description in RNAcentral is "partial 16S ribosomal RNA". It matches the Rfam family "Bacterial small subunit ribosomal RNA", at positions 26 to 285 of the family's 1533-position model. The record is from RNAcentral.